This 200-nucleotide ribosomal RNA is filed under the name uncultured organism. Its description in RNAcentral is "partial small subunit ribosomal RNA". It matches the Rfam family "Bacterial small subunit ribosomal RNA", at positions 1182 to 1382 of the family's 1533-position model. The record is from RNAcentral.
ACGUCAAAUCAUCAUGCCCCUUAUGUUCUGGGCUACACACGUGCUACAAUGGCCGGUACAACGGGAGGCGAAGGAGUAAUCCGGAGCGAAUCCUAAAAGCCGGUCUCAGUUCGGAUUGUGGGCUGCAACUCGCCCACAUGAAGCCGGAGUUGCUAGUAAUCGUGGAUCAGAAUGCCGCGGUGAAUGCGUUCCCGGGUCUU